RNAcentral lists this unclassified non-coding RNA (1972 nucleotides) under uncultured fungus. RNAcentral describes it as "sequence contains 18S rRNA gene, ITS1, 5.8S rRNA gene, ITS2, 28S rRNA gene". The stretch from base 836 to 1972 matches the Rfam family "Eukaryotic large subunit ribosomal RNA", at positions 1 to 961 of the family's 3401-position model. The record is from RNAcentral. Lineage: Eukaryota; Fungi.
GGAAGGAUCAUUAACACUUUAUCCACUAUAAACCAAAGUUGAACUGUCGUUGUGUUGAUAGUAGGGACGAAAGGCUAUGUGGUGAGGAAACCCAGAGUUGCAAGAUUUAAAGCUUUGGCUUCACUUCUUGUGGUCUGGAUUCUCGUCUUCGUUCCACAACACUUCGGUGUCAUGCUUCACACAGCGAUCACCACGGUUAUUUAACCACUAUGAAUUUUUGUACUAAACUUCUUAUUGAGAAUGCUUUGUUGCCGAAAGGCCGAACUUCUCCCUAAGUAUUUUACGAAACACUGAACAACUCUUAGCAACGGAUAUCUUGGUUUCCGCACCGAUGAAGAACGCAGCGAAAUGCGAUACGUAAUGCGAAUUGCAGAAUUCAGUGAAUCAUCAAAUUUUUGAACGCAACUGGCGCUUUUGGGUUAGUCCUGAAAGCACGUUUCUCUGAGUAUCGGUUCUACCUCAACUCGACUGCGUUCGUUCGAAAGAACGUUCGUACUCGGAUAAUGAAUGUCAUGAAGACCUGAAACUUUUCAUGUCAUUUGAAGAACAGAGCGUGUUCACCCUCUAUUUGUCGAAUUACUGAGUACUUUGUAUUCGGUGACUGUGCACAUCAGUGAAUGGUCUGCCUGACAUCUGGGUGACGUGGGAUAAUUUCACCUUUGUGUGAAUAAAAACUUUCUCCGUCACUUCAACCAGUGUUAGGAUUUUAUGAGUUUCAAAAGCUGUGUGCAUGGAAAAGGCUUACAGUUGGAUGAACAUUGUUAAAAUCAUUAGUGACCAGAGCAUUCUUUGCGGGGUGUUUUGGGAGCUAUGGUACACAUUAACUUUAAGAAUUAGAUCUCAGAUGAAGCGAGAGGACCCGCUAAAUUUAAGCAUAUUAUUAAGCGGAGGAAAAGAAACUAACAAGGAUUCCCCUAGUAACGGCGAGUGAAGCGGGAGGAGCUCAAAUUGUAAAUCGGGAACCCUAAUAGGUUUCCGAAUUGUAGUCUAGAGACAUGAUGCCAGCGAUCGACCGAGGUAUAAAUUUUUUUGGAACAAGGUAUCAUAGAGGGUGAGAAUCCCGUCUGUGACCUCGAGUUCGUCGCGUACGGCACGUGUUCAUUGAGUCGAAUAGCUUGGGAUUGCUGUUCUAAAUUGGUGGUAAAUUUCAUCAAAAGCUAAAUAUUGGCGGAAGACCGAUAGCGAACAAGUACCGUGAGGGAAAGAUGAAAAGAACUUUGAAAAGAGAGUUAAAAAGUACUUGAAAUUGUUAAGAGGGAAGCACUGGAAACCAGUAGCUGCCGAGUGUCUAUAUUUACUAUCCGACAGCGAAGGAUUUAGGCAAGGAGAGGGCAUACCCUCUUUGUUUAUUUCGGACGUUGAUGGGUGGGUCCUGUAGCGCUUGGCGAGUCAGAAUCAAGUAGAUUCGCAGGAGAAAAUCGGUGAUAAGGUCACCCCUACUUCGGGAAGGGUAGAGAUUGCCGACUAUACUGUGGAUUUGCUUGAGGUACUGAGAACAGGCGCCGUUCGCGGCUCGUUUCACCGGUUCCUAGUGCGUGGUUCGUCUUGGAUAUCAAAGAUAUGCGGAUGGAGAAGCGUACUACUGGAUCGGAUGAAUUCAGAUGUCUGUUAGCGAUUCUGACGAAAUGGUUUUCAUUGACCCGUCUUGAAACACGGACCAAGGAGUCUAACAUAUAUGCGAGUAUUUGGGUGGUAAACCCUGAUGCGUAAUGAAAGUAAAGGCAGCUUUUUGGUUGCUAAGGUAGGAAUUUGAGCUUCGGCUUGAAGGCACUAUCGACCGAUCAUUCACUUGUGAAAGAUUUGAGUAAGAGCAUAUCUGUUGGGACCCGAAAGAUGGUGAUCUAUGCCUGAACAGGGUGAAGCCAGGGGAAACUCUGGUGGAGGCUCGUAGCGAUACUGACGUGCAAAUCGUUCGUCUGAUUUGGGUAUAGGGGCGAAAGACUAAUCGAACUAUCUAGUUGCUGGUUCCCGC